GCGUGGGAAUAUGCCCUUCACUAUGGAAUAGCCUCGGGAAACUGAGAGUAAUACCAUAUACGCCCUUCGGGGAAGAUUAUCGGUGAAGGAUUAGCCCGCGUUAGAUUAGAUAGUUGGUGGGGUAAUGGCCUACCAAGUCUACGAUCUAUAGCUGGUUUGAGAGGAUGAUCAGCAACACUGGGACUGAGACACGGCCCAGACUCCUACGGGAGGCAGCAGUGGGGAAUCUUAGACAAUGGGCGCAAGCCUGAUCUAGCCAUGCCGCGUGAGUGACGAAGGCCUUAGGGUCGUAAAGCUCUU
RNAcentral lists this ribosomal RNA (300 nucleotides) under uncultured Loktanella sp. RNAcentral's name for it is "bacterial SSU rRNA". It matches the Rfam family "Bacterial small subunit ribosomal RNA", at positions 115 to 435 of the family's 1533-position model. The record is from RNAcentral. Lineage: Bacteria; Pseudomonadati; Pseudomonadota; Alphaproteobacteria; Rhodobacterales; Roseobacteraceae.